This 253-nucleotide ribosomal RNA is filed under the name uncultured bacterium. RNAcentral's name for it is "partial 16S ribosomal RNA". It matches the Rfam family "Bacterial small subunit ribosomal RNA", at positions 524 to 776 of the family's 1533-position model. The record is from RNAcentral.
UACGUAGGGUGCAAGCGUUAAUCGGAAUUACUGGGCGUAAAGCGUGCGCAGGCGGUUCGCUAAGACCGAUGUGAAAUCCCCGGGCUUAACCUGGGAACUGCAUUGGUGACUGGCGGGCUAGAGUAUGGCAGAGGGGGGUAGAAUUCCACGUGUAGCAGUGAAAUGCGUAGAGAUGUGGAGGAAUACCGAUGGCGAAGGCAGCCCCCUGGGUCAAUACUGACGCUCAUGCACGAAAGCGUGGGGAGCAAACAGG